UACGGAGGAUGCAAGCGUUAUCCGGAAUUAUUGGGCGUAAAGCGUCCGCAGGUGGUUAUCCAAGUCUGCUGUUAAAGCGCGAGGCUUAACUUCGUACAGGCAGUGGAAACUGGGUGACUGGAGUAUGGUAGGGGUAGCGGGAAUUCCCAGUGUAGCGGUGAAAUGCGCAGAUAUCAGGAGGAACACCGGUGGCGAAGGCGGGUCUCUGGGCCGAUACUGACGCUGAGGAGCGAAAGCGUGGGGAGCAAACAGG
RNAcentral lists this ribosomal RNA (253 nucleotides) under uncultured bacterium. Its description in RNAcentral is "partial 16S ribosomal RNA". It matches the Rfam family "Bacterial small subunit ribosomal RNA", at positions 524 to 776 of the family's 1533-position model. The record is from RNAcentral.